RNAcentral lists this long non-coding RNA (1119 nucleotides) under Cricetulus griseus (Chinese hamster). RNAcentral's name for it is "lncRNA (ENSCGRG00015039515.1)". Lineage: Eukaryota; Metazoa; Chordata; Mammalia; Rodentia; Cricetidae. The record is from RNAcentral.
AUUUAAUAUGACCAAGUAUCUUCAUUGAAAUAAACAGAAAUAUAACCUGUAAAUUUUUUCUUUGCUACUACAUUAAAAAUGAACUAUCAGUACAUACAUAGUAUUUUAUAGCAUGUUAUUUUCUUAAUUUCUUAUGUUGCAUUUUAUAUUUGAGUCCAUGACAGAAAAUGAAUUGUGAAACAAUUCAGAGAUUAAGGAAAAGUCUGCAAAAAUAAGGUCAAACAACUGUCAGCAACAGUUCAACUCUGACUGACUUCCGACAAUUCACUCUAGCUCCUGCUGCUGCCAGUCCAUAUCCACCCAUCAACAGCAGUCAGUCAGAGUUUAAAGUUAAAGACGGGUUCUCUUUUCAUCCUUACAGAAUGACUCUCUAACAAAUGACUGAAGUCUCUUUUCAUAAAACUUCCUAGUUGAUAAAUAACCAGCGUCUCCCCUCUGGUUUCCACAACCAAAUAUCCAACCAGCUAAGAUCAGAAAUACUCUGUGAGGGGCCGGGGGAAUCCAUUUGUAUAUAGCAAGCAUGUUCGGGGUGUUUCUAUCCUGUGAGCCAUACUGUAUAACCACAAUGUACGUUUUUCUGGGUAUUGUAAAUAAGCUGAGAGGAUUUAAAGUGUACCUGAGGAUUAAUCUAGGGUAUGUUCAAAUACUAUUCCACUUUUUCAGCCAUUUUUAUCUCUGGGUCCUGGGCCAGUUCCACACUAGUACCGAGAGUGGCUAUAUUAGCAAUUAUUACUAAUGAUUGCUAGAGGAAUGCCUUCAGCACCCUCCCCUCAAACCAGGGUGUUUCUUAUGGCUACCUCUGCUGUCUGACUGGAAACACAGCUGGGAUUGCAAUGAUCACAUGUAAAUUUAAUGAAGUGAUACAGUUCUUAUUUUUAAAUAUCUGAAUGCUUGAAUUCAGUAAACUUAAAGAGGUAUAAGAUGUGUGAUGUUUGGAUUAUAAUCAAUUCAUUUAUAAGGUAUUUAUGGAUUAACCCAUCUAAUUGUUUAGAUUGUAGAGAAGAACCAGAACUUUUUCAGCUUUUAAGAAAUAAUUGUAAAAGGCUGCUCUUAUUAAUAUUUAUCUGAGUUUUAUAUUAAUUUGUUUAUUUUGUAUUAUCUAUGUGUAUGAUUUGGAAA